This 497-nucleotide ribosomal RNA is filed under the name uncultured bacterium. RNAcentral describes it as "partial 16S ribosomal RNA". It matches the Rfam family "Bacterial small subunit ribosomal RNA", at positions 28 to 507 of the family's 1533-position model. The record is from RNAcentral.
GAUGAACGCUGGCGGCGUGCCUAAUACAUGCAAGUCGAGCGAACAGACGAGGAGCUUGCUCCUCUGACGUUAGCGGCGGACGGGUGAGUAACACGUGGAUAACCUACCUAUAAGACUGGGAUAACUUCGGGAAACCGGAGCUAAUACCGGAUAAUAUAUUGAACCGCAUGGUUCAAUAGUGAAAGACGGUUUUGCUGUCACUUAUAGAUGGAUCCGCGCCGCAUUAGCUAGUUGGUAAGGUAACGGCUUACCAAGGCAACGAUGCGCAGCCGACCUGAGAGGGUGAUCGGCCACACUGGAACUGAGACACGGUCCAGACUCCUACGGGAGGCAGCAGUAGGGAAUCUUCCGCAAAGGGCGAAAGCCUGACGGAGCAACGCCGCGUGAGUGAUGAAGGUCUUCGGAUCGUAAAACUCUGUUAUUAGGGAAGAACAAAUGUGUAAGUAACUAUGCACGUCUUGACGGUACCUAAUCAGAAAGCCACGGCUAACUACGUG